RNAcentral lists this ribosomal RNA (315 nucleotides) under uncultured eukaryote. RNAcentral describes it as "partial 18S ribosomal RNA". It matches the Rfam family "Eukaryotic small subunit ribosomal RNA", at positions 1470 to 1796 of the family's 1831-position model. The record is from RNAcentral.
CCCUUAGACGUUCUGGGCCGCACGCGCGCUACACUGACCAGUGCAACAAGCAUCCGUCCUUGGCCGACAGGCCCGAGCAAUCUUUGAACGCUGGUCGUGAUGGGGAUAGACUUUUGCAGUUUUUGGUCUUCAACGAGGAAUUCCUAGUAAACGCAAGUCAUCAACUUGCAUUGAUUACGUCCCUGCCCUUUGUACACACCGCCCGUCGCACCUACCGAUUGAAUGGUCCGGUGAAGCCUCCGGAUUGGCGCGCACCUCGGUGCCGCCGAGAAGUUGGCUAAACCUUACCAUUUAGAGGAAGGUGAAGUCGUANCA